UUCUGAGAUGCCAAUUGUUAUCAGUGUCAUACAUACAUAUAGUUUAAAGUGUUAACUUGUUUGUUUAAGAUUUGUUGAAUAACAAGCAGUUGCCUAAUCUUCCUUGGUAUUUUCUCCUUCCCAGAAGAGACUGUCUUAUAUUCUAGGCAUUAUCUGUUAGAUAGGAAGAG
Vicugna pacos (alpaca) is the source of this 170-nucleotide non-coding RNA. The record is from RefSeq and is a predicted model, not a curated record. Lineage: Eukaryota; Metazoa; Chordata; Mammalia; Artiodactyla; Camelidae.